RNAcentral lists this ribosomal RNA (468 nucleotides) under uncultured bacterium. RNAcentral's name for it is "partial 16S ribosomal RNA". It matches the Rfam family "Bacterial small subunit ribosomal RNA", at positions 28 to 507 of the family's 1533-position model. The record is from RNAcentral.
GACGAACGCUGGCGGCGUGCUUAACACAUGCAAGUCGAACGGAAAGGCCCUGCUUUUGUGGGGUGCUCGAGUGGCGCCCGGGUGAGUAACACGUGCGUGACCUGCACUUAACUUUGGGAUAACUUCAGGAAACUGGGGCUAAUACCGGAUAGGAGCUCCUGCUGCAUGGUGGGGGUUGGAAAGUUUCGGCGGUUGGGGAUGGACUCGCGGCUUAUCAGCUGGUUGGUGGUGUAGUGGCUUACCAAGGAUUUGACGGGGAGCAGGCCUGAGAGGGUGACCGGCCCACUGGGGAGAGAGAUACGGCACAGAGUCCUACGGGAGACAGCAGUGGGGAAUAUUGCACGAUGGGCGGAAGCCGGAUGCAGCAACACUGCGUGAGGGAUUGUGGCCUUCGUGUAGUAAGCCGUUUUCGCAGGUGACUGAGCGUGAGUGACGGUAAUGUAUAAAUAAGCACCGGCUAACUACGUG